ACUCCUACGGGAGGCAGCAGUGGGGAAUAUUGCACAAUGGGCGCAAGCCUGAUGCAGCCAUGCCGCGUGUGUGAAGAAGGCCUUCGGGUUGUAAAGCACUUUCAGUGGGGAGGAAAGGUUGAUGGUUAAUACCCAUCCAGCUGUGACGUUACCCACAGAAGAAGCACCGGCUAACUCCGUGCCAGCAGCCGCGGUAAUACGGAGGGUGCGAGCGUUAAUCGGAAUUACUGGGCGUAAAGCGCAUGCAGGUGGUUUGUUAAGUCAGAUGUGAAAGCCCGGGGCUCAACCUCGGAAUUGCAUUUGAAACUGGCAGACUAGA
Molecule: ribosomal RNA, 319 nt
Filed under: uncultured bacterium
Lineage: Bacteria
Description: bacterial SSU rRNA
Rfam family: Bacterial small subunit ribosomal RNA
Source: RNAcentral